GGGUUGUGAGGUUAAGCGACUAAGCGUACACGGUGGAUGCCCUGGCAGUCAGAGGCGAUGAAGGGCGUGCUAAUCUGCGAUAAGCGCCGGUAAGGUGAUAUGAACCGUUAUAACCGGCGAUACCCGAAUGGGGAAACCCAGUGUGACUCGUCACACUAUCAUUAACUGAAUCCAUAGGUUAAUGAGGCGAACCGGGGGAACUGAAACAUCUAAGUACCCCGAGGAAAAGAAAUCAACCGAGAUUCCCCCAGUAGCGGCGAGCGAACGGGGAGGAGCCCAGAGCCUGAAUCAGCAUGUGUGUUAGUGGAAGCGUCUGGAAAGGCGCGCGAUACAGGGUGACAGCCCCGUACACAAAAGCGCAUGUGCUGUGAGCUCGAUGAGUAGGGCGGGACACGUGGUAUCCUGUCUGAAUAUGGGGGGACCAUCCUCCAAGGCUAAAUACUCCUGACUGACCGAUAGUGAACCAGUACCGUGAGGGAAAGGCGAAAAGAACCCCGGCGAGGGGAGUGAAAAAGAACCUGAAACCGUGUACGUACAAGCAGUGGGAGCACCCUUUGGGUGUGACUGCGUACCUUUUGUAUAAUGGGUCAGCGACUUAUAUUCUGUAGCAAGGUUAACCGAAUAGGGGAGCCGGAGGGAAACCGAGUCUUAACCGGGCGUUAAGUUGCAGGGUAUAGACCCGAAACCCGGUGAUCUAGCCAUGGGCAGGUUGAAGGUUGGGUAACACUAACUGGAGGACCGAACCGACUAAUGUUGAAAAAUUAGCGGAUGACCUGUGGCUGGGGGUGAAAGGCCAAUCAAACCGGGAGAUAGCUGGUUCUCCCCGAAAGCUAUUUAGGUAGCGCCUCGUGAAUUCAUCUCCGGGGGUAGAGCACUGUUUCGGCUAGGGGGCCAUCCCGGCUUACCAACCCGAUGCAAACUGCGAAUACCGGAGAAUGUUAUCACGGGAGACACACGGCGGGUGCUAACGUCCGUCGUGAAGAGGGAAACAACCCAGACCGCCAGCUAAGGUCCCAAAGUCAUGGUUAAGUGGGAAACGAUGUGGGAAGGCCCAGACAGCCAGGAUGUUGGCUUAGAAGCAGCCAUCAUUUAAAGAAAGCGUAAUAGCUCACUGGUCGAGUCGGCCUGCGCGGAAGAUGUAACGGGGCUAAACCAUGCACCGAAGCUGCGGCAGCGACACUGUGUGUUGUUGGGUAGGGGAGCGUUCUGUAAGCCUGCGAAGGUGGCCUGUGAGGGUUGCUGGAGGUAUCAGAAGUGCGAAUGCUGACAUAAGUAACGAUAAAGCGGGUGAAAAGCCCGCUCGCCGGAAGACCAAGGGUUCCUGUCCAACGUUAAUCGGGGCAGGGUGAGUCGACCCCUAAGGCGAGGCCGAAAGGCGUAGUCGAUGGGAAACGGGUUAAUAUUCCCGUACUUGGUGUUACUGCGAAGGGGGGACGGAGAAGGCUAUGUUGGCCGGGCGACGGUUGUCCCGGUUUAAGCGUGUAGGUGUGUGUUCCAGGUAAAUCCGGUUCACUUUAACACUGAGGCGUGACGACGAGGCACUACGGUGCUGAAGCAACAAAUGCCCUGCUUCCAGGAAAAGCCUCUAAGCAUCAGGUAACAUCAAAUCGUACCCCAAACCGACACAGGUGGUCAGGUAGAGAAUACCAAGGCGCUUGAGAGAACUCGGGUGAAGGAACUAGGCAAAAUGGUGCCGUAACUUCGGGAGAAGGCACGCUGACACGUAGGUGAAGUGAUUUACUCAUGGAGCUGAAGUCAGUCGAAGAUACCAGCUGGCUGCAACUGUUUAUUAAAAACACAGCACUGUGCAAACACGAAAGUGGACGUAUACGGUGUGACGCCUGCCCGGUGCCGGAAGGUUAAUUGAUGGGGUCAGCGCAAGCGAAGCUCCUGAUCGAAGCCCCGGUAAACGGCGGCCGUAACUAUAACGGUCCUAAGGUAGCGAAAUUCCUUGUCGGGUAAGUUCCGACCUGCACGAAUGGCGUAAUGAUGGCCAGGCUGUCUCCACCCGAGACUCAGUGAAAUUGAACUCGCUGUGAAGAUGCAGUGUACCCGCGGCAAGACGGAAAGACCCCGUGAACCUUUACUAUAGCUUGACACUGAACAUUGAGCCUUGAUGUGUAGGAUAGGUGGGAGGCUUUGAAGUGUGGACGCCAGUCUGCAUGGAGCCGACCUUGAAAUACCACCCUUUAAUGUUUGAUGUUCUAACGUGGACCCGUUACCCGGGUUGCGGACAGUGUCUGGUGGGUAGUUUGACUGGGGCGGUCUCCUCCUAAAGAGUAACGGAGGAGCACGAAGGUUGGCUAAUCCUGGUCGGACAUCAGGAGGUUAGUGCAAUGGCAUAAGCCAGCUUGACUGCGAGCGUGACGGCGCGAGCAGGUGCGAAAGCAGGUCAUAGUGAUCCGGUGGUUCUGAAUGGAAGGGCCAUCGCUCAACGGAUAAAAGGUACUCCGGGGAUAACAGGCUGAUACCGCCCAAGAGUUCAUAUCGACGGCGGUGUUUGGCACCUCGAUGUCGGCUCAUCACAUCCUGGGGCUGAAGUAGGUCCCAAGGGUAUGGCUGUUCGCCAUUUAAAGUGGUACGCGAGCUGGGUUUAGAACGUCGUGAGACAGUUCGGUCCCUAUCUGCCGUGGGCGCUGGAGAACUGAGGGGGGCUGCUCCUAGUACGAGAGGACCGGAGUGGACGCAUCACUGGUGUUCGGGUUGUCAUGCCAAUGGCACUGCCCGGUAGCUAAAUGCGGAAGAGAUAAGUGCUGAAAGCAUCUAAGCACGAAACUUGCCCCGAGAUGAGUUCUCCCUGAGACUUAAAGUCUCCUGAAGGAACGUUGAAG
Molecule: ribosomal RNA, 2831 nt
Filed under: Salmonella enterica subsp. enterica serovar Enteritidis
Lineage: Bacteria; Pseudomonadati; Pseudomonadota; Gammaproteobacteria; Enterobacterales; Enterobacteriaceae
Description: partial 23S ribosomal RNA
Rfam family: Bacterial large subunit ribosomal RNA
Source: RNAcentral